GGUUCUGUCUUGGGUCACUUGGAUCUGAAGGCUGCCCCUUUGCUCUCUGGGGUAGCCUUCAGAUCUUGGUGUUUUGAUUACUCGCU
This is a microRNA precursor of Chlorocebus sabaeus (green monkey), 86 nucleotides long. Lineage: Eukaryota; Metazoa; Chordata; Mammalia; Primates; Cercopithecidae. The record is from Ensembl.